GGUCGUGUGUCACAGUGAAAAGGUACUCGCAUCUUCGGCGUCCUUUUGGCUUGGAUUUUGGAAAUGAAACUGCCGCUUGGCGUCGGUUGCAGUGGCCAGGUUGCUCGGCGAAUGAGAUGAAAUGAAACAAGGACGUAUUGGCUUGGAUUCGGCGUUGGAUUUGUGGCUGCUUGGCCAUUUUAUGCUGAGGAUUUUUCGCCUCUCGCAUCGGGUAUCCCAAAGUGGAGUGUGCAGCCUUGUUCUUUCUCUUACAUUUGGAAACUCGGGGUUAAAAGAAAUCGCUUAAAUCGCAAUGGAUCGGGAAAAUAACCACACAGAAAGUAAAAACAAGCAAAGUAGAUACGGAUUUCAAGGAAAUCUGAAAAAAUCUGAACAGACAUGCUGGCCAACUGACCUUGGAAGAUCCAACAUUUGUUGUUGGAACACUAACCCAGACACUUUUAGAAGAAUCUCACAAAUGAACAACAACCCAUUUUGUUACUUCCAAUCAACCGAAGCAGUCUCUGACUGCGUAAACGAAAACAAGAACCACAAUUUGGAAGCUCGUCGAGAUAGUUUAAAACUAAAAAAUUCGGACUUGAAUGCAAAAAGUAACGAAAUGCUAAGUAUAUAAGCUACUGACUAAAUCAUGCUUAACUGACUAAAUAUUUCAUAACAGAAGUACAGAGUCAUAGUCUGGAAUGAGCUGAUUGCGAAGACACAGCAGAUGAGCAGCGAGUAAUGUUGAUAAAUUCAGUAGCGUCACGAAGACGAACUUCAUGAAAUCCAACAAGAAAUCAAUAAUCAAAAGUUAUCUUAACAUUGUAAUGUAAUAAGGUAAAUACAAAGGCUUCAAUUCCGGAGAGCGCUCAGUAGAUUGGAAGAUAUUAGCUGUACUCUAUAAAACUGACACAGGUCUGACCAACGCAGCCGGUGUUUACAAAGAUAAUUUAUAACCAUUAAUAGACUUAUAAUAGCAUAGAUGAUGUCUGUAUUCAGAAAUUGCGGAAGCUGUACAUAAAACGAAAACUUGCUCAACCUUAAUAAGUUCUAGAGUACCCUUAGUGAAUUAAAUAAUAUUUUGACCCAGUAAUGAAACGAUCUUCGCUAUUAAGCUUCAAUUAAAGCAUUUGCAGAAAAGAAGACAGAAAAAAACUGCAGGCUUUGAAUGAGCCGGCAAAGCCUGGAUUUUUUCUGGCUGCUUUAAAUGCAGCUUACCUGCUAAGAUCGUCUCGUUACUCGUAAACUACUGUUCUAAGAACUUACCGCAAUA
RNAcentral lists this unclassified non-coding RNA (1252 nucleotides) under Stylophora pistillata. RNAcentral describes it as "uncharacterized LOC111321268, transcript variant X1". Lineage: Eukaryota; Metazoa; Cnidaria; Anthozoa; Scleractinia; Pocilloporidae. The record is from RNAcentral.